CACGUAGGGCGCAAGCGUUGUCCGGAAUUAUUGGGCGUAAAGAGCUUGUAGGCGGUUUGUCGCGUCUGCUGUGAAAUUUCGGGGCUCAACCCCGAACUUGCAGUGGGUACGGGCAGACUAGAGCGUGGUAGGGGAGACUGGAAUUCCUGGUGUAGCGGUGAAAUGCGCAGAUAUCAGGAGGAACACCGAUGGCGAAGGCAGGUCUCUGGGCCACUACUGACGCUGAGGAGCGAAAGCGUGGGGAGCAAACAGG
RNAcentral lists this ribosomal RNA (253 nucleotides) under uncultured bacterium. RNAcentral describes it as "partial 16S ribosomal RNA". It matches the Rfam family "Bacterial small subunit ribosomal RNA", at positions 524 to 776 of the family's 1533-position model. The record is from RNAcentral.